RNAcentral lists this long non-coding RNA (288 nucleotides) under Fukomys damarensis (Damara mole-rat). Its description in RNAcentral is "lncRNA (ENSFDAG00000021977.1)". The record is from RNAcentral. Lineage: Eukaryota; Metazoa; Chordata; Mammalia; Rodentia; Bathyergidae.
UUCAUCUUUCCUUUAUAGGCAUAUGCGGCUGUAUUUCUUUGAGUUACAUGGAACUUUAGGAAAAUGAUAUUUUAUGAAACUGCUACAAAGUAAAAGGAGAAGACAUACAACAAAAAAAAUAUUCUAAAGAGAAGCAACUCGGUGCACUUUGUAUCUGGAAGAUGGCACACGCAAGUCUGAGACUACAUGUUAACCUCUUGAUCAUGUACCCAGAUAGUUAAAUAAUUCACUUCAAUUUCAACCGCAGCUCAUUUUCAUCUUACAUCUAUGACUUCAAGCUAUGUCACC